UGAAACUCUAUGAUGUCAUUCAUUCCCUGUUGCCAUGACAACCAUGAAGCCAUGCUACCAAGAGGAGAGAGGAGGAGAUCGGGGCAGCAGACUUCCUUGAACCACAGCUUACACAGAGGAAAAGUCAAGCCUCAAAUGCAAAUCCAUUGAAAUAGCAUUUUUACUUGGAGAGUGAAAUACCAGAAUUCAGAUCUCCCCCAAAGCCAACCAAUAACAUAGCUGGAAGGUUAGCUUCGGAAAAUCUUGCAAGAAACCAAGCCAACGCAAGUCGCCAAGAAACAUUUGGAAAAGAGAUGAUUAGAACAUGGAUUUCAAAUAGAAUUGAAAAUGAGAAAUGCAACCUGUCAUUUUGGAUAGGCAUUUAAAGAACUUGACAGUGAAGCCGGCGAGAGGGCAGAUCUCAAAGCAGGAAGAGGUUCCCUAAAGUAAGAGGUAUCAGCCAACUUUCAAAUGGCUAAAAGAGUGACUGACUUGGAGCCUGGAUUCUGUAUGAAACUGCCACGGUGGACAUUAAUUUCACGAAUCUUUUACUGGACACAGGCACUUGGUGGGCCUUAAAUUAAAUAAGGGUCAGGGGACAGGAAAGAACCUUAAGAGAGAAUCGAUCCUCUACCCCAACCUUCAGGUAAAGCAUUUUCUAGAACAGAUUGGCCUUGAAGAUCUCACCACGGGGAUUUAAUUUCAUUGCUGGGAUUACCUAUAAAAUGACCCAGCAGGAGUCUCUGCUCUUCCAAGUUUGGUCAUUCGGGCAUCUGAUGUUCAGUCAGCAUUGUUAUUCCUCAUCUCCCUCUACGGGCAUUUUUUCCUAUAGGCAGCUACAAUUUUACUCCUACUGUUAUGAGAAAAAGAAGUUUUAAUCCCGUUAAGGUACGCAUUUGUUCAAAAUAAGCUUAAUGACCAAGCAAAAUGUAGAGGAGCUAAAAGCUUAACAAAUUUAGAACAAACUCACUAAUUCUCAGCUGGCUCCUCCUGGAAUUAUCUCAAAAAGAAGACUCUCUUGAAGAAGCAGGGUUGAUUAUUUUACUGAACCCAAUUACUCUUGGAGAAGUUCCUCUCUAUCUUAAUUAAAGUUCUACCUUGAAGUCGGUG
Molecule: long non-coding RNA, 1089 nt
Organism: Ornithorhynchus anatinus (platypus)
Lineage: Eukaryota; Metazoa; Chordata; Mammalia; Monotremata; Ornithorhynchidae
Exons: 4
Source: RefSeq, a predicted model, not a curated record